AAGGGUAUAGCUCAAUGGUAGAGCAUGUGCUUAACAUGUACGAGGUCCUGGGUUCAAUCCUCAGUACCAUUG
Molecule: transfer RNA, 72 nt
Filed under: Camelus bactrianus (Bactrian camel)
Lineage: Eukaryota; Metazoa; Chordata; Mammalia; Artiodactyla; Camelidae
Also listed under: 2 other names
Rfam family: tRNA
About the family: Transfer RNA (tRNA) molecules are approximately 80 nucleotides in length. Their secondary structure includes four short double-helical elements and three loops (D, anti-codon, and T loops). Further hydrogen bonds mediate the characteristic L-shaped molecular structure. tRNAs have two regions of fundamental functional importance: the anti-codon, which is responsible for specific mRNA codon recognition, and the 3' end, to which the tRNAs corresponding amino acid is attached (by aminoacyl-tRNA synthetases). tRNAs cope with the degeneracy of the genetic code in two manners: having more than one tRNA (with a specific anti-codon) for a particular amino acid; and 'wobble' base-pairing, i.e. permitting non-standard base-pairing at the 3rd anti-codon position.
Source: Rfam by way of RNAcentral